CCAGAGUACAUGGGAAGGAGAGGACCAGCAUGAAUUAAACCAGCUCAAACCACAGGAUGUAUUACAAAAGAGAAGCAUGACAGCAUGGGGAGCAAGCACUGGAAACUUUGUAUUUGGAAUGGUUAAAUCUGACUGGUCCUAGAGGUAUCUGGCUGCUAAGCAACCCCGUUUCAAGGAGGAAGUUGGGAAAGAGGAGCAUCAAUUAUAACCAAGGCCUAUAUUCAUCUGGAUCAGUUCAAUGUUUGCAAAAAUUGAAGUUACUGUACGUCAUUUUUUAAGAUUUCUGACUGUGGGAUUCACAGUUGAAAAUGCAGUGAAAGGUGAUGUGACUGUGGG
Molecule: long non-coding RNA, 336 nt
Filed under: Piliocolobus tephrosceles (Ugandan red Colobus)
Lineage: Eukaryota; Metazoa; Chordata; Mammalia; Primates; Cercopithecidae
Description: lncRNA (ENSPTEG00000027649.1)
Source: RNAcentral